This 59-nucleotide ribosomal RNA is filed under the name Limonium delicatulum. RNAcentral describes it as "partial 26S ribosomal RNA". Lineage: Eukaryota; Viridiplantae; Streptophyta; Magnoliopsida; Caryophyllales; Plumbaginaceae. The record is from RNAcentral.
GACCCCAGUUUAGGCGGGACUACCCGCUGAGUUUAAGCAUAUCAAUAAGCGGAGGAAAU